ACUGCUGCCUUUAACUCUCGGUCACUCUAAAUAUAGACUUAUAACUUUCUUGAACGCCCCUCACUCUCUCUCUCUCUCUCUCUCUCUCUCUCUCACUCUCUCACUUCUCUCUCUCUCUCUCUCUCUCUCUCUCUCUCUCUCUCUCUCUCUCUCUCUCUCUGUCUCUCAUGUUUCCAUGACUCAUUGGUGACACACGCACACUCUCUACAGCAGAAGCUGCAGCCUCUCUGUGAUGCAAUCUCUCCUUCUUUGCACAUACAGACUCCGUUUAGUGUUACAUAGGAAACACUGAGAACGUUUUAAACAAUCUAGAUCUACACAGUUUGGACUGCACACCCGUGGCUGGCGUGGCUCGGAGUUGUCGCUGUUCUCCUGGACGAUGCACAUAUCCAAUACCACUUGAUGCACAUCCAGGCCGACAGUAUGAAGACUGUGUGGCAGCCUUGAAUACAAAGUGAAUGAAACUAUAUCAGCCUUCACAAGCUCUGAUCAGUUGUUGUGGCUUCUACUCAUUCCUCUGAUUUUGGGAGUCAUCCUUAUCUGCUACAGCUGUCGCAAAUCACUCUGCAGGUCUAGAGGCCCUUCUGGACAAAGAGAGAAUGAGCUUGCAACACUGACCCCCAACAAGUCAGUUGACCCUUACUCGCCAAUAAGCUUUGAUGAGGCACCUAACCACAACAAACCCCUUAUCCCAGAUGGAACACUGAAUGGCAACACAGCACUGAACCUUAAUAUGUCAAUUAACCCCAACUCUCCAAAUUCCACCUCAACAGGAAAAAAUUUUAUGUAAUGAAGAGGAAUGCAACAAACUGAAGAAAAAGAGAAGAGGUCUGCAC
Pygocentrus nattereri (red-bellied piranha) is the source of this 836-nucleotide long non-coding RNA. Lineage: Eukaryota; Metazoa; Chordata; Actinopteri; Characiformes; Serrasalmidae. The record is from Ensembl.